CUACGGGUGGCACCAGGCGAGAAAACUUUGCAAUGUGCGAAAGCACGACAAGGUUAAUCCGAGUGGUUUCUGCUAAAGGAACCUUUUGACAGUCCUAGAAACACUGUUGAAUAAGUGGUGGGCAAGUUCUGGUGUCAGCCGCCGCGGUAAAACCAGCACCUCAAGUUGUCAGGAUGAUUAUUGGGCCUAAAGCAUCCGUAGCCGGCUCUGUAAGUUUUCGGUUAAAUCUGUACGCUCAACGUACAGGCUGCCGGGAAUACUGCAGAGCUAGGGAGUGGGAGAGGUAGACGGUACUCGGUAGGAAGGGGUAAAAUCCUUUGAUCUAUUGAUGACCACCUGUGGCGAAGGCGGUCUACCAGAACACGUCCGACGGUGAGGGAUGAAAGCUGGGGGAGCAAACCGGAUUAGAUACCCUAGUAGUC
This 422-nucleotide ribosomal RNA is filed under the name uncultured archaeon. Its description in RNAcentral is "partial 16S ribosomal RNA". It matches the Rfam family "Archaeal small subunit ribosomal RNA", at positions 323 to 746 of the family's 1478-position model. The record is from RNAcentral.